Hysterangium stoloniferum is the source of this 95-nucleotide non-coding RNA. Lineage: Eukaryota; Fungi; Basidiomycota; Agaricomycetes; Hysterangiales; Hysterangiaceae. The record is from the annotation of a GenBank genome assembly.
GCCUUGUUGGCUUAGUCAGUUGAGCAUUAGACUCAUAUAGUUGCUCCUCCCAGGUAGGACCAUUAAGCUUGUGGGUUCAAUUCCUACCUGAGGCA